RNAcentral lists this unclassified non-coding RNA (211 nucleotides) under root metagenome. RNAcentral's name for it is "partial contains small subunit ribosomal RNA, internal transcribed spacer 1, and 5.8S ribosomal RNA". The record is from RNAcentral.
UCUCCGUUGGUGAACCAGCGGAGGGAUCAUUACAGAGUUGCAAAACUCCCAAACCACUGUAAACCUUACCCCAACUGUUGCUUUAGCGGAGGUACCUCGCGGUGCCGCGACCUCAGGCCCGCUAGAAGCUCACUACACUAUGUUAUUCAUUGGCAUCUCUGAGGCACUAUAAAAUGAAUCAAAACUUUCAACAACGGAUCUCUUGGUUCUG